GACGUAGGUGGCGAACGUUAUCCGGAAUUAUUGGGCGUAAAGGGUGCGUAGGCGGCAUGAUAAGUUAUUGGCGGCAAAUCGAGGCUCAACCUCGUGGAAACUAAUAAUACUGUCUUGCUUGAGUGCAGAAGAGGUUAACGGAACUCCAUGUGGAGCGGUAAAAUGUGUAGAUAUAUGGAAGAACAUCAAUAACGGCGAAGGCAUUUAACUAUUCUGUUACUGACGUUGAGGCACGAAAGCGUGGGGAGCAAAAAGG
This 256-nucleotide ribosomal RNA is filed under the name uncultured bacterium. Its description in RNAcentral is "partial 16S ribosomal RNA". It matches the Rfam family "Bacterial small subunit ribosomal RNA", at positions 524 to 776 of the family's 1533-position model. The record is from RNAcentral.